This 297-nucleotide signal recognition particle RNA is filed under the name Aotus nancymaae (Ma's night monkey). RNAcentral describes it as "Metazoan signal recognition particle RNA (ENSANAG00000009613.1)". It matches the Rfam family "Metazoan signal recognition particle RNA". Rfam says of the family: The signal recognition particle (SRP) is a universally conserved ribonucleoprotein. It is involved in the co-translational targeting of proteins to membranes. Lineage: Eukaryota; Metazoa; Chordata; Mammalia; Primates; Aotidae. The record is from RNAcentral.
GCCAGGAACAGUGGCGAGUGCCUGUAGUCCCAGCUACUCGGGAGGCUGAGGUAGGAGGAUCUCGAGUCCAGGAGUUCUGGGCUGUAGUGCGCUAUGCCGAUCGGGCGUCCACACUAAGUUUGGCAUCAAUAUGGUGACCUCCCGGGAGCAGGGAACCACCAGGUUGCCUAAGGAGGGGUGAACCGGCCCAGGUCGGAAAUGGAGCAGGUCGAAACUCCCGUGCUGAUCGGUAGUGGGAUCGUGCCUGUGAAUAGCCACUGCACUCCAGCCUGGACAACACAGCGAGACCCUGUCUCU